AGUCGAGCGGAUGAAGAGAGCUUGCUCUCGGAUUCAGCGGCGGACGGGUGAGUAAUGCCUAGGAAUCUGCCUGGUAGUGGGGGACAACGUCUCGAAAGGGACGCUAAUACCGCAUACGUCCUACGGGAGAAAGCAGGGGACCUUCGGGCCUUGCGCUAUCAGAUGAGCCUAGGUCGGAUUAGCUAGUUGGUGAGGUAAUGGCUCACCAAGGCGACGAUCCGUAACUGGUCUGAGAGGAUGAUCAGUCACACUGGAACUGAGACACGGUCCAGACUCCUACGGGAGGCAGCAGUGGGGAAUAUUGGACAAUGGGCGAAAGCCUGAUCCAGCCAUGCCGCGUGUGUGAAGAAGGUCUUCGGAUUGUAAAGCACUUUAAGUUGGGAGGAAGGGCAUUAACCUAAUACGUUAGUGUUUUGACGUUACCGACAGAAUAAGCACCGGCUAACUCUGUGCCAGCAGCCGCGGUAAUACAGAGGGUGCAAGCGUUAAUCGGAAUUACUGGGCGUAAAGCGCGCGUAGGUGGUUCGUUAAGUUGGAUGUGAAAUCCCCGGGCUCAACCUGGGAACUGCAUUCAAAACUGACGAGCUAGAGUAUGGUAGAGGGUGGUGGAAUUUCCUGUGUAGCGGUGAAAUGCGUAGAUAUAGGAAGGAACACCAGUGGCGAAGGCGACCACCUGGACUGAUACUGACACUGA
This 694-nucleotide ribosomal RNA is filed under the name uncultured Gammaproteobacteria bacterium. RNAcentral describes it as "bacterial SSU rRNA". It matches the Rfam family "Bacterial small subunit ribosomal RNA", at positions 60 to 749 of the family's 1533-position model. Lineage: Bacteria; Pseudomonadati; Pseudomonadota; Gammaproteobacteria. The record is from RNAcentral.